UACGGAGGGGGCUAGCGUUGUUCGGAAUUACUGGGCGUAAAGGGCGCGUAGGCGGUUCAUCAAGUCGGGCGUGAAAGGCCUGGGCUCAACCCGGGAAUGGCGCUCGAGACUGGUGGGCUUGGAGUCCGGGAGAGGAUGGUGGAAUUCCCAGUGUAGAGGUGAAAUUCGUAGAUGUUGGGAAGAACACCGGUGGCGAAGGCGGCCAUCUGGACCGGUACUGACGCUGAGGCGCGAAAGCGUGGGGAGCAAACAGG
RNAcentral lists this ribosomal RNA (254 nucleotides) under uncultured bacterium. Its description in RNAcentral is "partial 16S ribosomal RNA". It matches the Rfam family "Bacterial small subunit ribosomal RNA", at positions 524 to 776 of the family's 1533-position model. The record is from RNAcentral.